ACUCAAAGGAAUAGACGGGGGCCCGCACAAGCGGUGGAGCAUGUGGUUUAAUUCGAUGCAACGCGAAGAACCUUACCUGGGUUUGACAUCCCCUGACAGCCGUAGAGAUACGGUUUUGUAGCAAUACACAGGGAGACAGGUGCUGCAUGGCUGUCGUCAGCUCGUAUCGUGAGAUGUCGGGUUAAGUCCCUUAACGAGCGCAACCCUUGUCCUUAGUUGCCACCAUUUAGUUGGGCACUCUAAGGAGACUGCCGGUGUUAAACCGGAGGAAGGUGGGGAUGACGUCAAGUCCUCAUGGCCUUUAUAUCCAGGGCUACACACGUGCUACAAUGGCCGGUACAGAGGGUCGCCAACCCGCGAGGGGGAGCUAAUCUCAGAAAGCCGGUCUUAGUUCGGAUCGAAGUCUGCAAUUCGACUUCGUGAAGCUGGAAUCGCUAGUAAUCGCGGAUCAGAACGCCGCGGUGAAUACGUUCCCGGGCCUUGCACACACCGCCCGU
RNAcentral lists this ribosomal RNA (497 nucleotides) under uncultured bacterium. Its description in RNAcentral is "bacterial SSU rRNA". It matches the Rfam family "Bacterial small subunit ribosomal RNA", at positions 899 to 1397 of the family's 1533-position model. The record is from RNAcentral.